Acanthosepion pharaonis is the source of this 113-nucleotide non-coding RNA. Lineage: Eukaryota; Metazoa; Mollusca; Cephalopoda; Sepiida; Sepiidae. The record is from the annotation of a GenBank genome assembly.
UAUGGCCAUAUCACGUUUAAACACCAGUUCUCGUACGAUCAUCGAAGUAAAGCCACGUCGACCCUGGUCAAUACCUAGAUGGGUAACCGCUUCAGAUUAACAGGUGCUGUAAG